This 226-nucleotide long non-coding RNA is filed under the name Nicotiana benthamiana. RNAcentral describes it as "long non-coding RNA (NBEN_LNC029129)". The record is from RNAcentral. Lineage: Eukaryota; Viridiplantae; Streptophyta; Magnoliopsida; Solanales; Solanaceae.
GUGAAGACUUGUUCAACUUUUGCAAGAAGAAGAAAGAAUAGGCAAAGAAAUUGAAGGGAAAUAAAAGGAGUUGUGUAAGGAAAGGAAUGAAAGUAAUAAAUGAAUAAUAAUAAUAAUAAUAGGGAGAAGAAAAAAAGGAUUAAUCAUAGUUGACAAUGGUGGACAAGUGUAUUGCCUGUGACAGGGUGUGCCUUGGUUGGGAUAUGGAUCCUCUAUUCUUCUUUGU